AGUUAUGACAUCAUAGAAGGCCACUAGGUUGGUCAGGCAACCUUGAUGAAGCCAUGCUGAUCUGCUUUUACCACCUCCACUUCUUCCAUGUGUGUUAUCAUAGCUUUCAGGAGGACCUGUUUCAUGAUCUUCCCCAGCACAGAGGUUGAGAUACAGUUAGAACCACACCUAUCGCAAGACAGGGUUAUGAACUAGAUGUACACUGGACUACAAAAAAGGAUUGCAGCAUGUGCACAAAAAAUCUGCCCAGAGACCCCAGUUGUGAAAAUACCAUACCACCUUACCAUGAGACACUGACAAGAAGAAACACAACUGAUAGAGUAAAUGAGCUGUCUUCUGGUUGGAGUUUACUGACUACAGUACUCAGGAGACCUACAGUAUUUGUAAUGCAAUUAUAGGGGGAGAAAAGAAGACUUGUCCAUGAAUCACAUGUUGGAAUUCAACAUCAAAACCAGAUUCUUCCAACUGUCCAGAAGAUGCCACAAUGGGCUAUACAAGCUGACUUUAAAAAUAAAUCUCUGCAGCUGACA
Numida meleagris (helmeted guineafowl) is the source of this 530-nucleotide long non-coding RNA. RefSeq lists it as uncharacterized. Lineage: Eukaryota; Metazoa; Chordata; Aves; Galliformes; Numididae. The record is from RefSeq and is a predicted model, not a curated record. The transcript has 5 exons.